This 307-nucleotide long non-coding RNA is filed under the name Elaeis guineensis (African oil palm). RNAcentral's name for it is "long non-coding RNA (EGUI_LNC042894)". Lineage: Eukaryota; Viridiplantae; Streptophyta; Magnoliopsida; Arecales; Arecaceae. The record is from RNAcentral.
AAGAGGUAUAGAAGGAACAUCCAUGCCUUCAUGUUGCCUUUAAAGCUCAUUGCUUAUAGAGGGAAGCAUGACGCACUUGACAGUUAUACUGUCAUCUUGCCACAUCUUGUAUGUGGCUCUUUUCUCCUCAGUUGCAUCUUCACCGAUCGAAUCGAGUGUAGGGGUAUCCAAAAUAUAGGAGUUUCUUCUAUGUGAAUAUAAUUCUUAGGUUUCUCAAUCAAUCCACAUAAUUGGAUCCGAUCAACUUGUUGGCAUCAAGUAUGCCACGCAGUGAAAGUGAGAAUGCCAUUACAUAGUUUAAUCUACA